GACGAACGCUGGCGGCGUGCUUAACACAUGCAAGUCACGGGGCCGCAAGGUAACGGCGAACGGUGCGUAACACGUGAGCAACCUACCGAUUUGAGGGGGAGUAGCUGGCCUAACGGCCAGGUAAUACCGCAUACGCUCAUAAGGCCUCCUGGUCUAAUGAGGAAACCUCCGGGGCAGAUCGAGGGGCUCGCGGCCUAUCAGCUAGUUGGCGAGGUCAUGGCUCACCAAGGCGACGACGGGUAGCUGGUCUGAGAGGAUGGCCAGCCACAUUGGGACUGAGAAACGGCCCAGACUCCUACGGGAGGCAGCAGUGGGGAAUCUUGCGCAAUGGCCGAAAGGCUGACGCAGCGACGCCGCGUGUGGGAGGAAGCUCUUCGGGGUGUAAACCACUGUUGCCCGGGACGAACACACAGUUUCGACUGUGCUGACGGGUACCGGUGAGGAAGCACCGGCUAACUCUGUGCCAGCCGCCGCCGUAAC
RNAcentral lists this ribosomal RNA (480 nucleotides) under uncultured bacterium. RNAcentral describes it as "bacterial SSU rRNA". It matches the Rfam family "Bacterial small subunit ribosomal RNA", at positions 28 to 524 of the family's 1533-position model. The record is from RNAcentral.